AUACGUAGGGGGCGAGCGUUGUCCGGAAUGAUUGGGCGUAAAGGGCGCGUAGGCGGCCCGGUAAGUCUGGAGUGAAAGUCCUGUUUUCAAGAUGGGAAUUGCUUUGGAUACUGUCGGGCUUGAGUGCAGGAGAGGUAAGUGGAAUUCCCAGUGUAGCGGUGAAAUGCGUAGAGAUUGGGAGGAACACCAGUGGCGAAGGCGACUUACUGGACUGUAACUGACGCUGAGGCGCGAAAGUGUGGGGAGCAAACAGGAUUAGAUACCCUGGUAGUCCACACUGUAAACGAUGAAUGCUAGGUGUAGGGGGUAUCGACCCCUUCUGUGCCGCAGUCAACACAAUAAGCAUUCCGCCUGGGGAGUACGGCCGCAAGGUUGAAACUCAAAGGAAUUGACGGGG
Molecule: ribosomal RNA, 397 nt
Filed under: uncultured bacterium
Lineage: Bacteria
Description: partial 16S ribosomal RNA
Rfam family: Bacterial small subunit ribosomal RNA
Source: RNAcentral